RNAcentral lists this ribosomal RNA (258 nucleotides) under uncultured bacterium. Its description in RNAcentral is "partial 16S ribosomal RNA". It matches the Rfam family "Bacterial small subunit ribosomal RNA", at positions 793 to 1055 of the family's 1533-position model. The record is from RNAcentral.
GUCCUAGCCGUAACGAUGGUCACUAGGUGUUGCUGGUAUCGACCCUGCAGUGCCGCAGCUAACGCAUUAAGUGACCCGCCUGGGAGUACGGCCGCAAGGUUGAACUCAAAGGAAUUGACGGGGCCCGCACAAGCGGUGGAGCAUGUGGCUCAAUUCGAGGCUACGCGAAGAACCUUACCUGGGUUUGACAUCCUUGGAAUCCCCUGAAAGGGGAGUGCCCUUCGGGGAGCCAAGAGACAGGUGGUGCAUGGCUGUCGU